RNAcentral lists this ribosomal RNA (253 nucleotides) under uncultured bacterium. Its description in RNAcentral is "partial 16S ribosomal RNA". It matches the Rfam family "Bacterial small subunit ribosomal RNA", at positions 524 to 776 of the family's 1533-position model. The record is from RNAcentral.
UACGUAGGGUGCGAGCGUUAAUCGGAAUUACUGGGCGUAAAGCGUGCGCAGGCGGCUUGCCAAGUCAGAUGUGAAAGCCCCGGGCUCAACCCGGGAACUGCGUUUGAAACUGGCAGGCUAGAGUUUGGCAGAGGGGGGUGGAAUUCCACGUGUAGCAGUGAAAUGCGUAGAUAUGCGGAGGAACACCGAUGGCGAAGGCAAUCCCCUGGACCUGUACUGACGCUCAUGCACGAAAGCGUGGGGAGCAAACAGG